Molecule: ribosomal RNA, 440 nt
Filed under: uncultured bacterium
Lineage: Bacteria
Description: partial 16S ribosomal RNA
Rfam family: Bacterial small subunit ribosomal RNA
Source: RNAcentral
CCUACGGGAGGCAGCAGUGGGGAAUAUUGCACAAUGGGGGAAACCCUGAUGCAGCGACGCCGCGUGAGGGAAGAAGUAUUUCGGUACGUAAAGCUCUAUUAGCAGGGAAGAAAAUGACGGUACCUGACUAAUAAGCUCCGGCUAACUACGUGCCAGCAGCUGCGGGAAUACGUAGGGGGCAAGCGCUAUCCGGAUUUACUGGGUGGAAAGGGAGCGUAGACGGCAGCGCAAGGCUGGAGUGAAAUCCCAUGGCUUAACCAUGGAACUGCUUUGGAAACUGUGCAGCUGGAGUGAAGGAGAGGUAAGCGGAAUUCCUAGUGAAGCGGUGAAAUGCGUAGAUAUUAGGAGGAACACCAGUGGCGAAGGCGGCUUACUGGACUGUAACUGACGUUGAGGCUCGAAAGCGUGGGGAGCAAACAGGAUUAGAUACCCGGGUAGUC